Pimephales promelas (fathead minnow) is the source of this 730-nucleotide non-coding RNA. The record is from RefSeq and is a predicted model, not a curated record. NCBI's taxonomy places the organism in Eukaryota, Metazoa, Chordata, Actinopteri, Cypriniformes, Leuciscidae.
AGUUUUGCCAUUAAAAAGGGAAAUUACUGAACCUAAAUAAAGGAGCAAAAAAAGACAGAUGAAGUUUUUGUUUUUUGCAUCUGAAGUCUUGGCCUACCAAUAUUAAACUGUACUGCAGUUCUGCUGUUUUGUGCGAGACAUAGCCCAUGUGACGAGCUUCCUUCGCGCGCACGCGCCGCGGGCGUUGUCCUGACAACGAGUCUCGAGAGCAGCUGAUGCUCAUUACUGUCAGUCAGCGUCUUUCCGCGUAGUGUCUGCUCCAUAAAAUAUGGUUUGGUUGAUUUCCUCACUGAAAUUAUCGUUCAUAUAGGUUCAUAUUUAUGAACUAUCACAAUUAAAACACAAAGACAUGACAGCAUUACUCGUGGUGACGACGGUCAUUAACAAGUGGAAUGGAAGAGAAGCGUUUUCUGGAAGCAAAAAAGAAGUUCAUUGCGCGAGGCCUUGUCAAGUCAUUCAGCUUAGAGAAAUGCAUGUUAUUGGGCAAAUUGUGUAGACUGUCAAUGGAGUGACAGAAAGAUUUCAUCAAAAAUAUCUUCAGUUGUGUUCCCCGUGUCUUGCGGGGUUGGAAUGACAUGAGGACUACUUCCAAAAUUGUGUUUCCACAUCUGAGAUGAAGGCAGUGAAAAGAACGAAGUGGAAUAAGAAUAAGCUCUUCAAAAAACACAACUUCUCUGAAUAAUGUGGGGGAAGAUGUUUGCAUGAUUUGUAAAUAAACACUUUAAAUACA